UACGAAGGGGGCUAGCGUUGUUCGGAAUCACUGGGCGUAAAGGGCGCGUAGGCGGCCGAUCAAGUCGGGGGUGAAAGCCUGUGGCUCAACCACAGAAUUGCCUUCGAUACUGGUUGGCUUGAGACCGGAAGAGGUAAGUGGAACUGCGAGUGUGGAGGUGAAAUUCGUAGAUAUUCGCAAGAACACCAGUGGCGAAGGCGGCUUACUGGUCCGGUUCUGACGCUGAGGGACGAAAGCUAGGGGAGCGAACGGG
Molecule: ribosomal RNA, 253 nt
Filed under: uncultured bacterium
Lineage: Bacteria
Description: partial 16S ribosomal RNA
Rfam family: Bacterial small subunit ribosomal RNA
Source: RNAcentral